RNAcentral lists this ribosomal RNA (380 nucleotides) under uncultured bacterium. RNAcentral's name for it is "bacterial SSU rRNA". It matches the Rfam family "Bacterial small subunit ribosomal RNA", at positions 29 to 412 of the family's 1533-position model. The record is from RNAcentral.
AUUGAACGCUGGCGGAAUGCUUUACACAUGCAAGUCGAGCGGCAGCGCGGGGCAACCUGGCGGCGAGCGGCGAACGGGUGAGUAAUGCAUCGGAACGUACCCCGUCGUGGGGAAUAACUACCCGAAAGGGUAGCUAAUACCGCAUACGACCUGAGGGUGAAAGCGGGGGACCGAAAGGCCUCGCGCGAUGGGAGCGGCCGAUGCCGGAUUAGCUAGUUGGUAGGGUAAAGGCCUACCAAGGCGACGAUCCGUAGCUGGUCUGAGAGGACGACCAGCCACACUGGAACUGAGACACGGUCCAGACUCCUACGGGAGGCAGCAGUGGGGAAUUUUGGACAAUGGGCGAAAGCCUGAUCCAGCCAUUCCGCGUGAGUGAAGAA